CACAGGUGCUGCAUGGCUGUCGUCAGCUCGUGUCGUGAGAUGUUGGGUUAAGUCCCGCAACGAGCGCAACCCUUGCCAUUAGUUGCUACGAAAGGGCACUCUAAUGGGACUGCCGGUGACAAACCGGAGGAAGGUGGGGAUGACGUCAAGUCCUCAUGGCCCUUAUAGGUGGGGCUACACACGUCAUACAAUGGCUGGUACAGAGGGUUGCCAACCCGCGAGGGGGAGCUAAUCCCAUAAAGCCAGUCGUAGUCCGGAUCGCAGUCUGCAACUCGACUGCGUGAAGUCGGAAUCGCUAGU
RNAcentral lists this ribosomal RNA (300 nucleotides) under uncultured beta proteobacterium. RNAcentral describes it as "bacterial SSU rRNA". It matches the Rfam family "Bacterial small subunit ribosomal RNA", at positions 1033 to 1339 of the family's 1533-position model. The record is from RNAcentral. Lineage: Bacteria; Pseudomonadati; Pseudomonadota; Betaproteobacteria.